AAAGAAUACCAAUUGCGAAGGCAGCUUUCUGGAUCAUUACUGACACUGAGGAACGAAAGCAUGGGUAGCGAAGAGGAUUAGAUACCCUCGUAGUCCAUGCCGUAAACGAUGUGUGUUAGACGUUGGAAAUUUAUUUUCAGUGUCGCAGCGAAAGCGAUAAACACACCGCCUGGGGAGUACGACCGCAAGGUUAAAACUCAAAUGAAUUGACGGGGACCCGCACAAGUAGUGGAGCAUGUGGUUUAAUUCGAAGAUACGCGCAGAACCUUACCAACACUUGACAUGUUCGUCGCGACUCUAAGAGAUUAGAGUUUUCGGUUCGGCCGGACGAAACACAGGUGCUGCAUGGCUGUCGUCAGCUCGUGUCGUGAGAUGUUGGGUUAAGUCCCGCAACGAGCGCAACCCUCACUUUUAGUUGCCAUCAUUAAGUUGGGCACUCUGAAAGAACUGCCAGUGAUAAGCUGGAGGAAGGUGGGGAUGACGUCAAGUCCUCAUGGCCCUUACGUGUUGGGCUACACACGUGCUACAAUGGCAUCUACAAUAGGAAGCAAGAUGGCGACAUCAAGCAAAUCCUAAAAAGAUGCCUCAGUUCGGAUUGCACUCUGCAACUCGAGUGCAUGAAGCUGGAAUUACUAGUAAUCGCGGAUCAGCGCGCCGCGGUGAAUACGUUCCCGGGUCUUGUACACACCGCCCGUCACACCAUGGGAGUUGGUUCUACCUUAAGGCAAAGUUUAAAACCUUUGACCACGGUAUAGUCAGCGACUGGGGUGAAGUCGUAACAAGGUAGCCGUAGGGGAACCUGCGGCUG
Molecule: ribosomal RNA, 808 nt
Filed under: marine metagenome
Description: bacterial SSU rRNA
Rfam family: Bacterial small subunit ribosomal RNA
Source: RNAcentral